UUUUUUUUUUUUUUUUUUUUUUUGCUUUUCUCCUCUCCCCCCCUCUGGGACUGAGACACCUCCUCCUCUUCCCCCUAUUCCACUUCCACUUCUAAUUCCAGUUCCUCCCGCCGCUACAAUUCCUUCCAUGCCCGCCAUGGAAAUAACGGAUCCCCUAACCCUAACUCCACUUUGGGUGAUUUAUAAAAAAAAAAAAAACAAUAAAUAAAGAGAGACAGUCGGUCCAACCCUCGGCAUAAACGACAGCGUUACUCCUCUUUUUGCAGAGGAGAGGGGGUGAGGGUGAGGGACAGAAAAAAAUUUUUUGAGGUGAUCGGCGCCGGUACAGGUGGUGGAGGUGGUAGCUGGCAUGGUGGGUUGGAUGAGGGAGGAAAAAGAAGAAAAGUUUUUGGAAAAUUUUUUGUGUAUUAGAUUUUUGAAGUGUGUAGGGAAAAAACUUUAAAAAGUUUUUUGGGAUUCCUGUAGCAAAAGUUGUUAAAAAACUAGUAGGUAAAAAACUUGGUCAAAAAACUCACUUCCAAACAGGCCCUAUAUUUCGUUAUGCACUUCUUGGUGUAUGUAAUUUAGCCCUAAAAGGGUUGGACCAUUUGAGGCCUUCAUUAAUAUUCUCAAUUUCACAUGUUUAAAUGAUAAAAUUAUAAUUUAUCCAAUAUGUUGGUAUUACUACUUACAGAUUACAUCUCAACCACAUUAUUAACCUUCUAAUUUCAAUAUUUUUUAACAAGAUUACAACAAAGCCACCAUGUCGUGGGUCAGAUUUACAACUAAAUAUUUACACAUGAUGUUUUUUUUUUUUUUUUUUUUGUCGACAGUGGGUAUCUGGGUUCGUGGACUGGUUACCGUACGACCCAACUAAUCCCACUACGAGCUGGGAGAGGCCUGCCCCAAGUAUCACCAGCCACGGUAGAACCGGGAUUCGAUCCCUGGACGUGACUCUCCCCCAACUGGGACUACAACCACGGGACCAAACCCGGAGGGGCUUACACAUGAUGUAUUUGAUGGUCAUUAAAAUAGAAGGUACUGUUAAAGACAGUGAUUAAUCAAUGAAAGAUGGUCAGAAGUGUCUCCAUGAGUCAAAUACAACAUGUUGUGAAAAUUAAAUAUAAAAUGAGAAAUUGAUUCAAGAAGGGCUCGAUUAGAGCAAAUGCUCAAUUUAGAAGCUAAAACGAAACUGAGAGUAUAGUUUCAAAGUUUUUCUGAUCGGUGGACAAUACAUUCUGGUUAACAGGAUCCUCGGGCCUUAAUUUUUUUUGUAAAACUGAAGUCAAAUAAAAAAAAAAAAUGUAUCCAAAAUGGGAAAGAGAUAGUAAAUAUAAACUGGAAACAGCUACCAUGCGUUUAUGACAUAAAGAUAUUGUAUUCCUCUAUCAAUUAAUUAUAUAGGAAGGUUGCUUAUUCUCUUUUAUUUUAUUUUAUUUCCUUUUCUUUUUUUUUUUUGUCGAAGAAGAAAGCUUAUUCGUAUGUUUGAUAGAUGGCACAAACGCAAGCAUUUCUAGCAUCAAUAAGCCCUCAUGGAGAAAAAAAAAGGCCACUUAUUGGAUGAGAAAAAGCUGACUGAAAAUGUCAAGUCUCAUUUCCUUCUCACAAAGAUUCUGAGUUACUUUCUGCUGAAACUUGAAUGAGUGUUUGAAAGUAUACACAGCAAAGCCAAUAAUGCUCCCGCGAAACAGGAAUAAUGAUCUACAAAUAAUAUUCCUUUAAUUGCAUUUUCUCUUCUCCGGAAAAUCCAAAAAGAAUCCUAAUCCCAUUUACAUCUACAUGGACGCACAUAAAGGCUCAUUUCUCAGUAUAUUGCUUAAAACAAAGUCAGUCUUGGAGACAUUUAUUUUAGCAAUAUACUGAGAAAUUAGCCAUACAAAAAUGUCUCGGGUGUCCCUCCUCCCCUCCUCUCUCUCUCUCCCACCCCCCCCCUCCGGGCCCCUGCGGGAGGAAAAAAAAAACCUCAAAACCAAAACCUCCACCUCAAAACUACUUUGAUCACAAAGGCUGACGCUGCAGCCUAUGCACUUAAGCCGUUGCUGACAAGCCUAAUGUUCUCACCUUCUUUGCAGGUUAAAACAAAAAAAAUUAUACAUAUAAAGUAGGGAUUGAUGGCACUAUAAAAUCUUAUUUGAGACCAAGAAACUCCAAUCCUACAGCUGAAGGCAUCAAACCAUAUUUAGAGAGAUAUCCAACAUCAUAAAACUUACUAAGAUGCCUCAUCCCACUGUCACAAAGAAUUGUCACAAUGGUGUGACCUGGACCAAGUGCUUGCGCCACUCUAACAGCCCCCACACAGUUCAUAGCAGAAGAACUCCCGAGAAAGAGGC
This 2309-nucleotide long non-coding RNA is filed under the name Coffea arabica (coffee). RNAcentral's name for it is "long non-coding RNA (CARA_LNC004947)". Lineage: Eukaryota; Viridiplantae; Streptophyta; Magnoliopsida; Gentianales; Rubiaceae. The record is from RNAcentral.